RNAcentral lists this unclassified non-coding RNA (151 nucleotides) under uncultured Helotiales. RNAcentral describes it as "sequence contains ITS2". The record is from RNAcentral. Lineage: Eukaryota; Fungi; Ascomycota; Leotiomycetes; Helotiales.
CAACCCUCAAGCAUUGCUUGGUAUUAGGCUCCGCUGCUCACCCAGCGGGCCUUAAAAUCAGUGGCGGUGCCGUCGGGCCCUGAGCGUAGUAAAUCUCCUCGCUAUAGGGACCCGGUGGACGCUGGCCAUCAACCCCCCUUACUUUCUAAGU